CAAGUACUCCCUCCGUCCUGAAAUACUUGUGAAAGAAAUGGAUGUAUCUAAACGUAUUUUAGUUUUAGAUACAUCCAUUUUUAUACAUUUCUCCGACAAGUAUUUCCGGAUGGAGGGAGUACAUG
Triticum aestivum (bread wheat) is the source of this 125-nucleotide non-coding RNA. The record is from Rfam. Lineage: Eukaryota; Viridiplantae; Streptophyta; Magnoliopsida; Poales; Poaceae.